RNAcentral lists this ribosomal RNA (231 nucleotides) under uncultured bacterium. RNAcentral describes it as "partial 16S ribosomal RNA". It matches the Rfam family "Bacterial small subunit ribosomal RNA", at positions 104 to 334 of the family's 1533-position model. The record is from RNAcentral.
CGGGGUGAGGAACACAUCGGAAUCUACCCUGUCGUGGGGGACAACGUAGGGAAACUUACGCUAAUACCGCAUACGACCUUUGGGUGAAAGCGGGGGACUCGCAAGAGCCUCGCGCGAUUGGAUGAGCCGAUGUCCGAUUAGCUAGUUGGCGGGGUAAUGGCCCACCAAGGCGACGAUCGGUAGCUGGUCUGAGAGGACGACCAGCCACAUUGGGACUGCGACACGGCCCAG